This is a long non-coding RNA of Hippocampus comes (tiger tail seahorse), 1096 nucleotides long. RefSeq lists it as uncharacterized. NCBI's taxonomy places the organism in Eukaryota, Metazoa, Chordata, Actinopteri, Syngnathiformes, Syngnathidae. The transcript has 3 exons. The record is from RefSeq and is a predicted model, not a curated record.
AGCAUUUCUUCUCCAAGUAAGCUGAAACAUCGUUGCGAGUACAAGUACCUUUUACGUUCGAAUCAUUUUGUGCGUACGUUCACCCGUAAUUGUCAGUCAAAACUUUCUUACGACACGUUGUCUAACUGCACGCUGCCGGAACUUCACGUACGUGAUAACGUCACUGUUCAGCGCAUUUCAAUAAAAAAACGGGGGGCGGUGCCUCGCGUGAUCGUGUGUAAACAGAGUAGCGUUUAACGUUCUCGUUAUUGUGAUAUUACUUGUUAUGGUGCAUGAAAGCAUAAAGUUAAAAGUAGAAAUAGACUCGUUAAGAAAGAGACCCUGGAACUGACGAUUAACUAUCUUUGAAUUUCAAAAAUUCGCUGGUGUCCGGAUCCAAUGACGACAUUCGCUCUGAGGAGAAGUCCAUCUUGGGUUUGAUUUCGUGCUGGGUUCAUAUUAUGGUGUGCUUCGACUUUUAUUGUUUGCUCUGUCCAUUUAUUUGGACAAUUUGUGAAGUGACGUAGGAUGCGAGUAACUCCGGGUUACAGUAUAUCAGGCAACUUGUUACCGAGACGUGCUAGCAUACCGUUGGCUAAAGUUUCCUUAAUUACGAUAUAGAUCUACUAUGCACUUAUUUUCAUGAACUCGGACCACAAUUUUAACUUCUGGGCAGAAAUGAAAACUAAAGGAGGGCAUUUUUUCGAAAAAUCUAAAAACUCACAAUCACUAUUUUUGUAAAUACAGUAACUCAAAACGAAAACAUACGCCUGGUUUUGUGAUAUUUGUGUGUGUGUGUGUGUGUGUAACAGUGAAACGAACUAAUAAAUUAUAGCGGAAGUGACUCAACAGCAAAGAUUGUGGCACCUGCUUACCGCCGUACGUCGUCAGAAAGACGAGGAAUGCAGAGUGAAAAUUGUGCAGGACUGAAAGCGUCUUCACCAUUGUUCCCGUCAUACCGUGUUGCAGGCAGAGCUAUGAGGAAUGCAGAGUGGUAGUUGACCGGAACUGAACGUGGCUUCACCUUUGCUCCUGCCAUACUGUGUUGCAGUGUUGUAAUAAAAAGAACAUCUGUAAUCCACCUGAGUGUCAGUGAUGUAUUGAACCGACAGCGAUG